UACGUAGGCAGCAAGCGUUGUUCGGAGUUACUGGGCGUAAAGGGUGUGUAGGCGGUCUCGUAAGUCUGGUGUGAAAUCUCCCGGCUCAACUGGGAGGGUGCGCCGGAAACUGCGAGGCUAGAGUGUGGGAUGGGAGAGUGGAAUUCCUGGUGUAGCGGUGAAAUGCGUAGAUAUCAGGAGGAACACCUGCGGUGUAGACGGCUCUCUGGACCACUACUGACGCUGAAACACGAAAGCGUAGGGAGCGAACAGG
RNAcentral lists this ribosomal RNA (253 nucleotides) under uncultured bacterium. RNAcentral describes it as "partial 16S ribosomal RNA". It matches the Rfam family "Bacterial small subunit ribosomal RNA", at positions 524 to 776 of the family's 1533-position model. The record is from RNAcentral.